GACGAACGCUGGCGGCGUGCUUAACACAUGCAAGUCGAACGGAAAGGCCCUGCUUUUGUGGGGUGCUCGAGUGGCGAACGGGCGAGUAACACGUGAGUAACCUGCCCUUGACUUUGGGAUAACUUCAGGAAACUGGGGCUAAUACCGGAUAGGAGCUCCUGCUGCAUGGUGGGGGUUGGAAAGUUUCGGCGGUUGGGGAUGGACUCGCGGCUUAUCAGCUUGUUGGUGGGGUAGUGGCUUACCAAGGCUUUGACGGGUAGCCGGCCUGAGAGGGUGACCGGCCACAUUGGGACUGAGAUACGGCCCAGACUCCUACGGGAGGCAGCAGUGGGGAAUAUUGCACAAUGGGCGGAAGCCUGAUGCAGCAACGCCGCGUGCGGGAUGACGGCCUUCGGGUGGUAAACCGCUUUCGCCUGUGACGAAGCGUGAGUGACGGUAAUGGGUAAAGAAGCACCGGCUAACUACGU
This 467-nucleotide ribosomal RNA is filed under the name uncultured bacterium. RNAcentral's name for it is "partial 16S ribosomal RNA". It matches the Rfam family "Bacterial small subunit ribosomal RNA", at positions 28 to 506 of the family's 1533-position model. The record is from RNAcentral.